RNAcentral lists this unclassified non-coding RNA (211 nucleotides) under Hevea brasiliensis (rubber tree). The record is from RNAcentral. Lineage: Eukaryota; Viridiplantae; Streptophyta; Magnoliopsida; Malpighiales; Euphorbiaceae.
UGGCGUGGAAAGCCAGUUUUCAUCAGGCGCCGAUCAGAAGAAGAUGUGAAGCUGGCAAAUAGUGUUGAGUUAGCAUCUCUUCGCGACCCACAGCCUGAUGCCGAGAGGGUCAAGAACCCAGAAUGGCUAGUUGUUAUAGGGGUCUGCACGCAUUUGGGUUGCAUUCCCUUGCCAAAUGCUGGUGAUUUUGGCGGCUGGUUUUGCCCAUGCC